UAAGGAAUAUUGGACAAUGGAGGCAACUCUGAUCCAGCCAUGCCGCGUGAAGGAAUAAGGCCCUAUGGGUUGUAAACUUCUUUUAGACGGGACAAAACCCCUUUACGUGUAAAGGGUUGAUGGUACUGUCAGAAUAAGCAUCGGCUAACUUCGUGCCAGCAGCCGCGGUAAUACGAAGGAUGCAAGCGUUAUCCGGAAUUAUUGGGUUUAAAGGGUGCGUAGGCGGACUAAUAAGUCAGUGGUGAAAACCUGCAGCUUAACUGCAGAAUUGCCAUUGAUACUGUUAGUCUUGAGUACAGUUGAGGUAGGCGGAAUGUGUCAUGUAGCGGUGAAAUGCUUAGAUAUGACACAGAACACCGAUUGCGAAGGCAGCUUGCUAAGCUGUAACUGACGCUGAGGCACGAAAGCGUGGGGAGCAAACA
This 422-nucleotide ribosomal RNA is filed under the name uncultured bacterium. Its description in RNAcentral is "bacterial SSU rRNA". It matches the Rfam family "Bacterial small subunit ribosomal RNA", at positions 355 to 774 of the family's 1533-position model. The record is from RNAcentral.